This 834-nucleotide long non-coding RNA is filed under the name Mytilus galloprovincialis (Mediterranean mussel). The record is from RNAcentral. Lineage: Eukaryota; Metazoa; Mollusca; Bivalvia; Mytilida; Mytilidae.
GAGAUUACUAAUUUGCUACUGUUACCUGUUAUAUGCAGGAAACAAAAAAUAAACACAAUAAAAAUAACAGAUAAUAGUAUCAUAAUUCACUGUCAGAUGAAAAAAGCAACAAUAUGAAAAUAAGCAUUGAAAUUAAAUUCAUAAAAUAGGGUAGAAAAGGCAAAAUUAAAUAAUUUAAGUUUAUGCAUGUACACAUUUUAUUUUAUUUCAGAUUUACAAACCAGUAGCAAAAUUUCCAGGCAGUGUACACGACUCGUACAUAUUUUCAAACUCUGAAUUGUGAUACUUUUUUGAAGAGAACAAUGUGGAUGGAUGGUUACUGGGAGAUUCUGGAUAUGGUCUAAAAAAGUAUUUGCUUACUCCAAAAUUAAAUUCUUACACACUGGCUGAGGAGUAAUACAACAAGGCUCACUCAAAAACACGCACCAUAGUGGAACAGGCUUUUGGUGUAUGCAAAUCUAGAUAUAGGUAAAAAAAAAUUAUUAUUUUCAAAUUUCAAAAAAUAUCAUUUUAAAUAUGUUAAUGAAAAACAGCACAGUCAUUCUUAUGCCCUCUAUAACUUGCUGUUCCAUGUGCACCAAGAUUCCUUAUUGAAGAAGUUGUAUUGUUACCUAUAAUUCAGCUAAAUUCUGUCUUGGGUGUAGAGUAUGUCUCAUUGACACUCAUACUACAUCUUAUUAAUAAAAUAUGAAGAAUGAUACAAUUUUCUUCUUUUUAUGUGCAAAUUACAACAAUUUCCAAUGUAAAAAAAAUAGUACUCUUUUUUUCAUUACAGGUGUUUGCAUAAAACAGAGGGCUGUUUGCCAUUUACACCUGACAAAUCUGCAAUAGUUG